This 77-nucleotide transfer RNA is filed under the name Flavobacterium sp. RNAcentral describes it as "tRNA-Pro". It matches the Rfam family "tRNA". Rfam says of the family: Transfer RNA (tRNA) molecules are approximately 80 nucleotides in length. Their secondary structure includes four short double-helical elements and three loops (D, anti-codon, and T loops). Lineage: Bacteria; Pseudomonadati; Bacteroidota; Flavobacteriia; Flavobacteriales; Flavobacteriaceae. RNAcentral also lists the same sequence under 7 other names. The record is from RNAcentral.
CGGGAUGUAGCGCAGCCUGGUAGCGUACUAGCAUGGGGUGCUAGGGGUCGCUGGUUCGAAUCCAGUCAUCCCGACCA